RNAcentral lists this long non-coding RNA (649 nucleotides) under Equus asinus (donkey). RNAcentral's name for it is "lncRNA (ENSEASG00005024502.1)". Lineage: Eukaryota; Metazoa; Chordata; Mammalia; Perissodactyla; Equidae. The record is from RNAcentral.
GAACCUUCCAGAACAGCCACACCCUCCUUGCUGCCUGUCACGAUCUCAUUAUUCUCCAAUGACCCAUUCGCCAUCCCAGUAACGGCAGAAGCCAAAAUCGCAUGAACACCAGGCAAUUUGCAGACCACAGCUUUGCCGUCUUUAUCAUCCAUCUCUCCUGGGGCAAAGCUGAGCUGGACUCCGAGGUUGGAAGGCGCUCAGCGAGGAGGAGAGAAUGGGAAGAAGACAGGCUGGCCUCGCAGGAGGCGCCUUGCCGGACUGAGAUUACGGGUACCUGUGAUCCAUCUACUGGGCUUGCUGACGCUUCUCUACAACAGUCUUGCUGCUCAGGUCUGAUGUUUAUUUUCAAACAACAGGAUGAUGCCAGCUUGCUAGUUCGUUUCUGUCCUGCUGAAUGGUUGAAUGGUUUUCCAUACCUCGCACCAAAUUUUGGCAAAUUGAAUAUGGUUGACUAGAACGAUAUACCUCUGAAUAUUAAAAGUAACUCUGAAGUUGUGGCUCCUUGUUUUUCAUAACUGAGACAGUGUUGGGAAGUUAGGACAACACACCCUGGAGGCAAACUGCCCAGAUGACCACUCAGGGCUGCGUGGCCGGGGCCUCUCCUCAGCCCACUGUGCCUUGGUUUCCUCAUCAGUAAGAAGAACAGAGG